Molecule: ribosomal RNA, 230 nt
Filed under: uncultured bacterium
Lineage: Bacteria
Description: partial 16S ribosomal RNA
Rfam family: Bacterial small subunit ribosomal RNA
Source: RNAcentral
AGCGUGCGCAGGCGGUUUUGUAAGACUGUCGUGAAAUCCCCGGGCUCAACCUGGGAAUGGCGAUGGUGACUGCAAGGCUAGAGUUUGGCGAGAGGGGGGUAGAAUUCCACGUGUAGCAGUGAAAUGCGUAGAUAUGUGGAGGAACACCGAUGGCGAAGGCACGCCCCCUGGGUCAAAACUGACGCUCAUGCACGAAAGCGUGGGGAGCAAACAGGAUUAGAUACCCCAGU